RNAcentral lists this ribosomal RNA (253 nucleotides) under uncultured bacterium. RNAcentral describes it as "partial 16S ribosomal RNA". It matches the Rfam family "Bacterial small subunit ribosomal RNA", at positions 524 to 776 of the family's 1533-position model. The record is from RNAcentral.
UACGUAGGGUGCGAGCGUUAAUCGGAAUUACUGGGCGUAAAGCGUGCGCAGGCGGUUUUGUAAGACGGGUGUGAAAUCCCCGGGCUUAACCUGGGAACUGCGCUUGUGACUGCAAGACUCGAGUACGGCAGAGGGGGGUGGAAUUCCACGUGUAGCAGUGAAAUGCGUAGAGAUGUGGAGGAACACCGAUGGCGAAGGCAGCCCCCUGGGCUGAGAUUGACGCUCAGGCACGAAAGCGUGGGGAGCAAACAGG